UUUCUCCAUUUAAAUAUUGUAUAUGAUGAUUAUUUAAUAUUUAUAUUCAUUAAGCAAAUAUAAUUCGACAAGUACAAUGGCUAAAUGGAGGCCUACAAAAUUGCAAAUGAAGCCCUUAAUUGAGCUUGUAUCUAAUGAUCAACAACUCAUCGCUGGCAAGUUAUCUUCAAAUUGUACUUACAAAAUCAUGAAAGAAAGAUGGAAACAAAUUGAUGAUGAAUUAAAUGCGUUACCCGGUGCAGAAAAAAGUUCUGAUAAAUGGAAAAAGUUUGAAACCGAUGACGCCACAGGAAUCGCUUUCGCAUUACUACCGCUGAUUACCUAUAAUACAUAUGUAUAUAUAUAUAUCUGUUAACCAUCAUAUUGUAUGACAUUGGGUGGACGAGUAUAUUUGCAUAUUUUAAACAAGUACAACAAUUCAACAAACAGAAAUACAUCAAAAUCAUUACGUACCAUUAUG
Molecule: unclassified non-coding RNA, 460 nt
Filed under: Acyrthosiphon pisum (pea aphid)
Lineage: Eukaryota; Metazoa; Arthropoda; Insecta; Hemiptera; Aphididae
Description: uncharacterized LOC100159796, transcript variant X1
Source: RNAcentral